RNAcentral lists this long non-coding RNA (342 nucleotides) under Bos taurus (domestic cattle). Its description in RNAcentral is "long non-coding RNA NONBTAT026345". Lineage: Eukaryota; Metazoa; Chordata; Mammalia; Artiodactyla; Bovidae. The record is from RNAcentral.
GCCACGUCACUGCUCUAUAAAAAGCUUCCUGGAAAAAGUAUUAACAGAUGGCCUCUUACUCCCUGAGACUGUUAGUAGCACACCAGAUGGCAAUCCAAAUGAGAAGAUUCAACUUAAAUUCUCCAAUCUGAAGGAAAUGUGACACUAGCUUUUUAAUAGGUGUGCAGCAUUAGAGGUAGCAAAGAAAUGAUCAGUUAAGAUAAAAACUCAUUUAUUCUCCUCAUUUCAGCAUGGAAUACAAUCUUCCUUGACUCACCAGUUUGCCAGGUCAUUCUGAUAAAAUGCUGGAAAUUGUUUGCCCAACACAAACAGAAAGUUUAUUUGAAAAGACUGACAGAUUUA